Non-coding RNA from Drosophila kikkawai, 1615 nucleotides. Lineage: Eukaryota; Metazoa; Arthropoda; Insecta; Diptera; Drosophilidae. The record is from RefSeq and is a predicted model, not a curated record.
UUUCAACGGUUGUCCCGGGCGGUUGAUCGAUGUGAACGAUCCGCAUUUUCGUCGCGAUCCGAGAUCGAGUUGGCGAGAUAAAACCGCGAAUGCAAAAAGAACACCGCAACAGCAGUAGCAGCAGCCACGAUUGCCAAAUAUCCAAAGUGAACCUUAAAAUAAAACAAACAAGUAAACAAUUAUGGGCAAACAAUCGUCGUUGUCGGUCGUGACGAGUGGUGUUUGGCUUUUGUCCGGGGUUUUACUACUAAGUUUUACGGAGACAAGGGCCUAUGGCUUUGGACGUUGCCCGAAUUACCCAUCGAUGCCAAAGUUCAACAUGAGCAGGGUUCUAGGUCAUUGGUACGAGGUAGAGCGUUCAUUUUACCUGCCGGAAAUUGCCUCCGGUUGCACCACCUUCCAAUUCCAGCCGUAUAAUAAAGCAGAGCAGUCCAAGUUCGCCAAUUUUAAGCUGGCAGUGGCCAUCAAGAACAUCAAUCGCAUAACCGGUAAUCCGAAUGUAAACAUCGGCUAUGCGACACCGGAAAAUAGUCGAUCCUCCAUCAUGGAUUUCAAGUUUACCACCCGUUUCCCUGAUGUGAUUGCCCGUCUUCUACCGGGCUCUGGCAAGUACCAGGUGCUCUACACGGACUACGAGAACUUUGCCAUUCUGUGGUCCUGCGGCAGCAUCGGCUCCCUGGGCUACUCCGAUCAGAUCUGGAUACUGGGACGCGAUCGAGACUUCGAGGUGGACAUACGCUCCAAGGUCUACGAUGUGUUGAAGCGACUCUCCCUAGAUCCGGAAAGACUGAUCAUCAGCAAAAACAAGAACUGCCCCGAGGCGCUGUGAGAGGCGGUGCACCUUCAUCCCCAUCUAUAUAUAUAUUUAAGUUCAUUCGGUUAAGGAACAAAAUCCCAUUGGAUGCCUAAUCAUUUAGGCUGCUGUGAUAUCGAGGAGAGGAGUGUUAUCUUCUGGACGCUUGGGUUCAAUUAGCGCUGGCGUCCUAAUUAGUUGGCAAUAAACAGAAUUUCCCAGUCAUUGCAACUCAGUCGUGAUUGACGAACGGAUCGAUAAGGUUCUAAGCUGGCAAAGAUGUCCCGAUUGCUGAUCUUAGUGUGCGCAAUUUUGUUCCUGACCCUCUGGCAGAUGUCUGAGGCGAGAGGAGGCGGCGGCGGCGGUGGCGGACAUGGCGGAGGCGGCCAUGCUGGAGGCUUUGGAGGAGGAGGUCGCGGUGGGGGCUUCGGAGGCGGACGAGGUGGAGGAUUCGGCGGACGUGGCGGAGGCUUUGGAGGCAGAGGCCCAGGCUUUGGUGGACCAAGAGGUGGAGGUUACAGAGGAGGACCUCGCCCGUAUUACGGCUAUAGGGGAUAUGGUGGUUUUGCUGGCUACGCGGGAUACGCUGGUUACGCUGGAGUUGUCCCCGUUCCCGUGCCCUACCCUGCCACCUACAGCCGGUGCUACUACGGCGACUAUUACUACAACUAUUACUACUGCUGACAUCAUCUCUGUUACGAUUAUGGAUGGUUUAUUUAUACAAAUUACAUUUAACACGUUUUGUAGUUACAAAGAUUAUGUAAAGUUACCCCAGAAAGUUCGGGAUGUAGACAGUUCUCUAAAUAUUCCGUAUCUCAAAUA